AACACCGGCAACGCUGGGCCAAUUGUGCACUGCCCCAUGGGUUUCCCAGUCGCGGCCGGCUGCAACAGAGCCUGGACUCGAACCAGGAUCUCUAGUGGUCCAGCUAGCACUGCAAUGCAGUGCCUUAGAUGACUGCGCCACUUGGGAAGCCCGGGCGUGACGUUUUGAUAACCGUGUAAAUCUCUCUGACAAGGUGACUUUUAUCAAUAGUCUCCUGUAUUUACCCCCCAAAAAUGAAAUACUAAAGUAGUUGCUAAUAUGGCUAUCAUACAGAACUACACCUCAUGUUGCAAGCUUUGAUGUCAUCACUCAUGGCAGUGUUGCAUGGUGCGAAAACCUCCUUUAUUACUAUAAUUUGUUUAAUUACCCUGGCCUUUGUAACUAGCUAACUUUAGGCAUAUCUGUCGAUCAGAAGCAAGGAUGGUUCUGUGCUAUAAACCGGAUUGUAACCACUACUCUGAUAAGCGCAAAUUUGUAUUUUAGCAUUUUCCAACCUCUGUAAGCGAGCGGCGUCGCUGGAGCCAUGUGGUAAGGACAAUGACCCAAAACACACCUCCAGGCUGUGUAAGGGCUAUUUGACCAAGGAGAGUGAUGGAGUGCUGCAUCAGAAGACCUGGCCUCCACAAUCACCUGACCUCAACCCAAGUGAGAUGGUUUGGGAUGAGUUGGACCACUGAGUGAAG
Molecule: long non-coding RNA, 683 nt
Filed under: Salmo salar (Atlantic salmon)
Lineage: Eukaryota; Metazoa; Chordata; Actinopteri; Salmoniformes; Salmonidae
Description: lncRNA (ENSSSAG00000093985.1)
Source: RNAcentral